Molecule: unclassified non-coding RNA, 73 nt
Filed under: Flavobacterium noncentrifugens
Lineage: Bacteria; Pseudomonadati; Bacteroidota; Flavobacteriia; Flavobacteriales; Flavobacteriaceae
Description: Flavo-1 RNA
Source: RNAcentral
GAUUCGCGUUAGGGAUUGCAGCGGCAUCCUGCGCCUUUUUCUGGUGCAGAUACAGCGGAAAGCCCGGGCCAAA